This is a long non-coding RNA of Pseudophryne corroboree (corroboree frog), 724 nucleotides long. RefSeq lists it as uncharacterized. The transcript is spliced from 5 exons. Lineage: Eukaryota; Metazoa; Chordata; Amphibia; Anura; Myobatrachidae. The record is from RefSeq and is a predicted model, not a curated record.
GGUUCCUUCAAUUCGAAUGGAUCAAGCGAUCGAGCAAUAGUGGUAUUGCGGGCUGCCCCAACAAGCCAUAGCUGUUGACCCCAUUUCCUGAUCCUGUAAGUGAUGCUGGAGAAAGGUACCAAGAGGCACACAUUACAUCGAGGGGCAUAAUUGAGCGAGCCUUUGGUGUACUUAAAAGCCGGUUCAGAUGUUUAGACAAGUCCGGCGGUGCCCUUUUGUAUUCGCCUGCAAAGGUUUGCGGCAUAAUUAAUGCCUGUUGCAUCCAACAUUACAUUUGUGUCGCAAUCCGUUUGCUGGUUAUUCUUCGUCACACACGGGGAUCUUUCUACAGCAUCGACUGCGGGCAUGGAUGAAGGAGCAGAAGCAAGGUCGCAUCUGAUCUGCGCCUUUUUUUCAACUUUUUCAUAGUUAUGCCCAGUUGGCACCACGUUGAUACAGUUUAUGGUUUUUAGUUUGAUUUGCAAGAUGUUUUGUCCGUUUCCCUUUGAUGGUUUCAAGAAGGUUACCCGGGUUGCCCUACUCCCCUUCUGCCCUGUUGGCCUACUUGUGAUGUGCCCCCCCCUCCACUGCGGCGUGUCAAGGACAACCCUUUAGGUUUCUCUUGGAUGUUCUUUGAAGUCCUGCGACACAUGUACAGCUGAUUGUGGUGCUGACUAUCCCGCCUUCGACCCUCACGGCUUACUUGUGAUGUGGACCCCCCACUGCACUGUGACAAGGACAACCC